GCGAGUUUAAAUUCACUGAAAGAGGCCCAGAUAUCAAGUCGAGUGAAUUUCACAGACAUCAUCUUCUGUUUUAAUGAUCGCGGCAGUGAUCGUUUCUGAAGUCAUACCCUUUAAGGUGAACUCAACAACAAUGCAUGUCAGAGAGGCUGCGAGCCCUAAAGCAAAACAGUUAAAACAUGAGGCCACGCUCCUCAAACUGCAGGAUUGCAAGCAGCUCACAAACUUCCAGUCCCCACCCCGAGGACUCCAAGCUGUUGUCCCCUCUCUGCCGCAUCCGAGGCUGGAAAAACUUACUAGGAGAAGGCAAGACACCAGACCAGAACCGAGGACUAAACUUUAAGGUCGAAGACGGCAGAGGGGCAGGUUCUCCCCUGCAGACCCCAAGGCCUCUCGUGCACCCGCGAGGCCUUCCUUGAGCGCCCAGGCCCCCGAAGUGCCUGCCCUCCUUCUGACAAAAGGAGGCGGUAGGAUGUGGAGGGGUAGUGCAACCAAUAAUAUUUUUGUGAACACAACAACAGGGAAAUACAUGGAGGAAAUCUA
Molecule: long non-coding RNA, 540 nt
Filed under: Pongo abelii (Sumatran orangutan)
Lineage: Eukaryota; Metazoa; Chordata; Mammalia; Primates; Hominidae
Description: lincRNA
Source: RNAcentral